This 482-nucleotide ribosomal RNA is filed under the name uncultured bacterium. Its description in RNAcentral is "partial 16S ribosomal RNA". It matches the Rfam family "Bacterial small subunit ribosomal RNA", at positions 30 to 507 of the family's 1533-position model. The record is from RNAcentral.
AUUGAACGCUGGCGGCAUGCCUUACACAUGCAAGUCGAACGGUAACGGGCCGUCGGGUGUCGACGAGUGGCGGACGGGGGAGUAAUACAUCGGAAUGUGCCCGAUCGUGGGGGGUAACGAGGCGAAAGCUUUGCUAAUACCUCAUACGAUCUACGGUUGAAAGCAGGGGACUGCAAGGGCUUGCGCGGACGGAGCGGUCGAUGGCAGAUUAGGUAGUUGGUGGGAUAAAAGCUUACCAAGCCGACGAUCUGUAGCUGGUCUGAGAGGAUGAUCAGCCACACUGGGACUGAGACACGGCCCAGACUCCUACGGGAGGCAGCAGUGGGGAAUUUUGGACAAUGGGCGCAAGCCUGAUCCAGCCAUGCCGCGUGCAGGAUGAAGGCCUUCGGAUUGUAAACUGCUUUUGUACGGAACGAAAAGCCUUCUUUUAAUACAGGAGGGUCAUGACGGUACCGUAAGAAUAAGCACCGGCUAACUACGUG